UGCUUCAUUUCAAAUAUUUACUCAGCCUUGUGUAUUUUAUGGUAUCUCACGGUGCAGACAACCCAUCAUAGCCUAGGGGCUGAGGCACAAGCAGCCUUCGCGGUGAGAUACCAUAUUAUGUGAAGUCAUUGCCAGGUGGUGUCAGCAAGACAGACACUAUAGGGCUGCGGGGUGAGCGGCAGUCUUGUGGAGGAGGGGGGGCAUGGAAAGCAGUGCAUAGUUUGAGAGGAGCAAAGAAAAGAGACCUGGCUUUGUGGUGCACAUGUGGCUUCUGGUUUGAGGUGUCCCUGUCCCUAUUGCCGGCAAGUGCAGGGUGCCCGCAGCACAGUCCCGCAGCACGACCCACUGGCGCGUGGAGAGCGGGAGCACUAUGACUUUUUUUUUCUUCUCCAUAUAAACCAAUAUUUACCAGUAAUCCUGUGUUUCUGUUUCUGUUUUUUGGCAGACUUUUACCAGUAAAUAUCGGUUUAUUCCUGAAACCAGAAGCCCUAAACAUACCUUUGUUUAUAAGUUUUCCUGCUCUGCAACUCUGGAAAUGGAGCCCGCAGGACCUAGAGCCUUCUCUUGGUAACGUAGACUGAAGUUUACAAAUUAUUAUUUAACACUUUAAAGUCUGCUUUUAAGGACAGCAGUGUUCCCGUCUGCCUGGUACGGGGCUGGUAGGAAUUCCUGCAGGUGCAUGACGUAGUUCACCUUCCCAGAGCCUGUGGGCAGGUGUCUCAAAAAGCAUCUUCAGGUUUGGGCUUGGAAAGUAAUUUCUCCAAAAGUAGAUGCUGCAAAAUGGCAUUUUGGUUUUACAGUGAAGAGGAUGGGGGGAGCGAAGGGUGGGAACUGAGUAUGGAUAUGUCUUUUUCUGAUUUUUUUUUUUUAAUUUUUCUCUAUAUUCUGCUAGAAAGCAAGGCUUCUGUUUUGGAAAAGAAGCAUAAAGUGGGGAGGAGGGAGAGAAUUUGAGCAUUGCCCAUCCUAAAAUAGUUUUAAACACUUUCUCCGAGGCUGAUGGAAAAGGCAGGUGAAAGGUCUGAUCCUUAAAAGGACAUUGCUAGGUAUUUGGGACUCCAAAAGCAGCUGGUGCUUCUUAAUGACUGCAAUUGAUUUAGGUAAUUUUCAAAAUUUGGUCUAUACUAAGACAAAUCAGCUUGGGAGAGUUGAAGACUCCCUUUUUUUCCUAAGAGUUUGCAACCCAAAUGCUGCAGUACUGUGCUAAUACUUGUGAAACAGCAAAGCUGGUGAGGAAUAGAAAAUGAGUUGACUACAUGGUCCCAGCCAAUUUUUUUUUCUUUUGAAAGAACAAAAUGAAAAAAUCAUAAUCAAAACCACUCCAAGCCAAAAAAUGCAACCUCCAUAGAGCAAGCAGAACAGCAUCUCAAGUGAUUUGAUUUGGUUUUGUCAUGCAUGGUUGGCAAGAGCAUUUCUGGUAUAGCUGCAACCUAACUAUGUCCCUUUAAGACUAACUUCAUCUCAAUGAAACAAAAGACAAGGUUUUGCACUAUAGAGCAGAUCAAAGCUCCUGCAGCCUUAGUUGGAGUCCAUAAUGACGGGAGUCUUCCAGCUGUACACUCUGAGCUGAAAACUACCUUUCCUCCCCUUUUGCAGCCUGUGUGGUUCUGAUUGCUGGCAGUUCUCUAAUACAGCUUUAAUCUGAGCAGUUGAGGCUGGUCCCACCUUACCUUCAGACGUCUUGCGGAGGACUCCUGUUACCAGUUUGGUACUCAAAAGCUACACCCCACCAUGAGAAGUCAAUUAUUUUUUAAAAGGCAGUGAUAGAUUACUGUCUCUAGUUCUAAUGGAAAAAUUAUAUUGCAAUGCAACUUUAUAAUAAAUUGUUCAUAUAUUCAUAAUUCCGUGGCAAUCCCAAAUCGGAGGACG
RNAcentral lists this long non-coding RNA (1866 nucleotides) under Gallus gallus (chicken). Its description in RNAcentral is "long non-coding RNA NONGGAT002281". The record is from RNAcentral. Lineage: Eukaryota; Metazoa; Chordata; Aves; Galliformes; Phasianidae.